CCUACGGGUGGCAGCAGUGGGGAAUAUUGCUCAAUGGAGGAAAGUCUGAUGCAGCGACGUCGCGUGAGUGAAGACGUCUUUCGGUACGUAAAGCUCCAUUAGUAGGGAAGUAAAUGACUCUACCUGACUAAUAAGCCCCGUCUAACUACGUGACAGCAGCCCCGAUAAUACGUAGGGGGCAAGCGUUAUCCGGAUUUACCGGGUGUAAAGGGAGCGUAGAGGGAUGCGCAAGUCUGGAGUGAAAUCCCACGGCUUAACCAUGGAAGUGCUGUUGAAACUGUGCAGCUGGAGUUCAGGAGAGGUAGGCGGAAUUCGUAGUGUAGCGGUGAAAUGCGUAGAUAUUAGGAGGAACACCAGUGGCGAAGGCGGCUCACUGGACUGUAACUGACGUUGAGGCUCGAAAGCGUGGGGAGCAAACAGGAUUAGAUACCCUAGUAGUC
This 440-nucleotide ribosomal RNA is filed under the name uncultured bacterium. RNAcentral's name for it is "partial 16S ribosomal RNA". It matches the Rfam family "Bacterial small subunit ribosomal RNA", at positions 338 to 795 of the family's 1533-position model. The record is from RNAcentral.